Molecule: ribosomal RNA, 650 nt
Filed under: uncultured bacterium
Lineage: Bacteria
Description: bacterial SSU rRNA
Rfam family: Bacterial small subunit ribosomal RNA
Source: RNAcentral
AACGAACGUUGGCGGCGUGGAUUAGGCAUGCAAGUCAUACGGGAUCCGGGGUAACUCGGGUCUAGUGGCGAACGGGUGAGUAUCGCGUGGGAAACCUGCCCUUGAGAUGGGGAUAACACCUCCAACGGGGUGCUAAUACCGAAUAAGACCACGGAGUCGCAUGGCUCUGCGGUCAAAGGUGGCCUCUACUCGUAAGUUACCACUUAAGGAUGGUCCCGCGUCCCAUUAGCUAGUUGGUAGGGUAAUGGCCUACCAAGGCUACGAUGGGUAGCUGGUCUGAGAGGAUGGUCAGCCACACUGGGACUGAGAUACGGCCCAGACUCCUACGGGAGGCAGCAGUCGAGAGGCUUCGGCAAUGGGGGAAACCCUGACCGAGCGACGCCGCGUGGGCGAUGAAGGCCGUUAGGUUGUAAAGCCCUGUCGAGCGGGAAAAAUUGUAGGCGGGUGAAUAAUCCGCUUAUUUGAUGGUACCGUUAAAGGAAGCUCCGGCCAACUCCGUGCCAGCAGCCGCGGUAAUACGGGGGGAGCGAACGUUGUUCGGAAUUACUGGGCGUAAAGGGCGUGCAGGCGGUCCUGUAAGAGAGUUGUGAAAUGCCCUGGCUCAACCAGGGAAAUGCACCUCUGACUGCAGGACUUGAGUAUGGGAGAGG